AUGAGAAAGCAGAAAAUGCAGGUCAAACACCGCCUCCCCCGAGGCCCGGAGGGGCCGGCGGCUCGGGGCGGACAGCGGCGGCGGGGGCAGGCAGCGGCGGCCCGGAGGAGGCUGCCCCGAGACGGACAACGAUCCCCGAACUUCCCCCCCCCGCCUCCCCUCGGGACAAUAAGGGGGGAAAAGGGGGAGCGGAGGAAACCAGCCUACGGCGGGGCUUCCCCGGCCAUCACUCCACCGACAAAGCCCCGCGGCCAGGCCCGUCCUCAGCCCCGGCCCCGCACCGGCUUGCCACCACCGGCUCCAGCUCGGCCACCGCGGGCGGGAGCGCACCACCGGAACCGCCAUGAUGGCCCGCACCACUAUGCCUUGCCGGGCCGGGCCGGGCCUCCCCCGCCGGGUCGGGUCGAGCCGAGCGUCCCGGGGCCGCUGCCCCUCCGCGGCGGCGGGGCCCCGCCGCCCAGGCCCCCGAGGCAUGGUAGGGCGGAGCGCCGGGCCGCGGCCCGCGCCAGGAGCCCCCCAGAGCCGCCUCAGCGUUCCCUCCCGCCAGCCCCACCACCGGGCACAGCCGGUCCCCGCACGCACGCAUGCACACCCGCCCGCCCGCCUGCGCCUACCUGGCCGGCCCGUUCCCCGGGCCCCCGCGCGGCACUAGGCCCGGCUCAGCGCCACGGCGUCUCCUGGGCAGCCGGCGGGAGCAAGCCCUCGGCGGCGGCGCCAGCCCCUCCCCCUGGCAGCAGUAGCGGCGGCUUCUCCUCAGGCCGGGCGGAAACGGCACUGGGCGCACGGGGAUCCCCGGCGCCGGCGCCAGGGGCGCCCCGGACACGCCCACUCCCGCUCCCCGUUGGCUGCCACGCCGCUGCACCCCGCCCCACCGGGACGCCCGCCGCCACCACCGCCCCGCCCACCGACGCUUCCCAUUGGUGGCCUCGCCGCCCGGCCCCGCCCUCUCUCCCGCCUCAUUGGGAGCCGCGCCCCCGCCCCGCCGCUCGCCCCACGGUGGUGGUGUCCUAUUGGUGCGCGGGGCUGCCAGUCAUCCGGCAGGCGGCCGCCAGCGCCGAGGCGGUGAGGGCGGGCGGGCUGCGGCAGCGCCGGCCGGCCGAGCCGCGCUACGUGCUGAGGGGCGGGGCUGGCGGCCGCCCCCGCCGAGGCGCCCGCUCUCCGCGGGGUAACUCCCGCGUCGGGACACGUGGCAGAAAGAAGGGGCGGUGCGGGCGGCCGGGAUUCCUGGGCGGCAGCCGCCGCUGCGCCGCGCAUGCGCGUGUCCGGCAGGGUGGGGGGUAUGUCUCUGUGUGUGUGUGA
RNAcentral lists this long non-coding RNA (1299 nucleotides) under Calidris pygmaea (Spoon-billed sandpiper). RNAcentral describes it as "lncRNA (ENSCPGG00000012936.1)". Lineage: Eukaryota; Metazoa; Chordata; Aves; Charadriiformes; Scolopacidae. The record is from RNAcentral.